UGGGGGAUAUUGCACAAUGGGGGAAACCCUGAUGCAGCGACGCCGCGUGAGUGAAGAAGUAUUUCGGUAUGUAAAGCUCUAUCGGCAGGGAAGAAAAAAAUGACAGUACCUGACUAAGAAGCCCCGGCUAACUACGUGCCAGCAGCCGCGGUAAUACGUAGGGGGCAAGCGUUAUCCGGAUUUACUGGGUGUAAAGGGAGCGUAGGCGGCCAUGCAAGUCAGAAGUGAAAACCCGGGGCUCAACCCUGGGAGUGCUUUUGAAACUGUGCGGCUAGAGUGUCGGAGGGGUAAGUGGAAUUCCUA
Molecule: ribosomal RNA, 303 nt
Filed under: uncultured bacterium
Lineage: Bacteria
Description: bacterial SSU rRNA
Rfam family: Bacterial small subunit ribosomal RNA
Source: RNAcentral